RNAcentral lists this ribosomal RNA (224 nucleotides) under uncultured bacterium. Its description in RNAcentral is "partial 16S ribosomal RNA". It matches the Rfam family "Bacterial small subunit ribosomal RNA", at positions 617 to 839 of the family's 1533-position model. The record is from RNAcentral.
GGAGGGUCAUUGGAAACUGGUAAACUUGAGUGCAGAAGAGGAAAGUGGAAUUCCAUGUGUAGCGGUGAAAUGCGCAAAGAUAUGGAGGAACACCAGUGGCGAAGGCGACUUUCUGGUCUGUAACUGACACUGAUGUGCGAAAGCGUGGGGAUCAAACAGGAUUAAAUACCCUGGUAGUCCACGCCGUAAACGAUGAGUGCUAAGUGUUAGGGGGUUUCCGCCCC